This 209-nucleotide long non-coding RNA is filed under the name Mytilus galloprovincialis (Mediterranean mussel). Lineage: Eukaryota; Metazoa; Mollusca; Bivalvia; Mytilida; Mytilidae. The record is from RNAcentral.
GGCCGUGAUUAAACGAUAUUUUACGAGUUUUUUGUUUAGUUUAGGUAACCAAUACAUUGUAGGGACCUUCAAAUGUUCAGAGGAUGCCUUAAGCGGAGCUGUGAUAGUGACAUGAUUAUUUACUAUAUGACUCUCUUUGGUGCUUAUGGUCUUGAUGCUACAUAAACAAAACUUCAUUAUAAUGAGAUAUUAUCCGAAUCUUAAGUUUG